UACAUGGGGUGCAAACGUUGCUCGGAAUUAUUGGGCGUAAAGCGCACGUAGGCGGUUCGUUAAGUCGGAUGUGAAAGCCCUCGGCUCAACUGAGGAAGUGCACCCGAAACUGGCGAGCUUGAGUACGAAAGAGAUCGCGGAAUUCCCGGUGUAGAGGUGAAAUUCGUAGAUAUCGGGAGGAACACCGGUGGCGAAGGCGGCGAUCUGGGUCGAUACUGACGCUGAGGUGCGAAAGCGUGGGGAGCAAACAGG
This 252-nucleotide ribosomal RNA is filed under the name uncultured bacterium. RNAcentral's name for it is "partial 16S ribosomal RNA". It matches the Rfam family "Bacterial small subunit ribosomal RNA", at positions 524 to 776 of the family's 1533-position model. The record is from RNAcentral.